UUGAACGCUGGCGGCAGGCUUAACACAUGCAAGUCGGACGUGGAAUCGCCUUCGGGUGAGAGUAGCGUGGCGGACGGGUGAGUAACGCGUGGGUGACCUGCCCUCUGGUGGGGGACAACCCGGGGAAACCCGGGCUAAUACCGCAUACGUCCACGGGCUAUGGUCCGUGGGGAAGGCUGGCCUCUGAUGCAAGCCAGUGCCGGAGGAGGGGUCCGCGUCGGAUUAGCUGGUUGGUGGGGUAACGGCUCACCAAGGCGACGAUCCGUAGCUGGUCUGAGAGGAUGAUCAGCCACACUGGGACUGAGACACGGCCCAAACGCCUACGGGCGGCAGCAGUGGGGAAUCUUGGACAAUGGGGGCAACCCUGAUCCAGCCAUGCCGCGUGGGUGAAGAAGGCCUUCGGGUUGUAAAGCCCUUUCAGCAGGGAAGACGCCGG
RNAcentral lists this ribosomal RNA (436 nucleotides) under uncultured bacterium. RNAcentral's name for it is "bacterial SSU rRNA". It matches the Rfam family "Bacterial small subunit ribosomal RNA", at positions 29 to 454 of the family's 1533-position model. The record is from RNAcentral.